GGCGCAGACACAAAGGCAAACAAUCCCAAACACAGGCUUUGCCCUCCUUGUACGUUGAGACAAAGGAAGCAGAAAUGAGCCUGGGAUCACAGUCUGCGCUGAGCAGCAUGGAGCAAACAGGGCGUCCCCUUCUCAGUGACAGAGGGACUUGGGCUGACCAACCGUCUUGGCUUCCCUGGGACUGUCCCAGCUCAGCACUGAAAAUCUCAUGCCGAUGAAAACCCCCGCAGGCCUGGGCAGAUGGGAACCUUGGUCACUCUUGCAGAAACUUGAGUCAGAAAUAAAGCAACUUCUCCCAGGCCAUGUGGAAAAGCCAUGUGUGAACCAGAGGAACAAGUACAACAGAGCCGCUGAGUACACCCCAACACAGAGGAGCCAGCGCUCACCGAGAGAUUUGCCAAGUGGAGUCCUUUUGAGACAUCCAAAUUUCACUGUCUUCAACUUAUUAAUGUGAAACAAAGAAUAACGUAUAUGUGUGUGUAAACACGAAUAGUAACAGCUUAUAUUUGUAAACAAUGUGCCGUGCGCCCAGCACUACAUUAAGCAGUCUCCAUGCAGCACCUCCAUUAAUCCUGGGGAGCACUGUACCCACUUCAAGAGGCCUUUAGAAGAGCAAGUAACAAAAACUGGUGGAAAAAAAGCACACAUUCAACAGGAAGCAACAUCUAGAGACCUUUCUGCCUUCCAGGAUACAAAAAGAAAACAGUUCAUAAACAACUUACAUCUAAACCAGUAAUGUUGUCUCCCUGGCUCAUAGGAGCUGAAGAAGAAUUCCAGUUACUGUAGUAAGAAUAUAAGGAUGUGGACUGGUUUGAGGAUGCUUGAGGCAUGACUAUAGCAAGUACUGCGCAUACAUAUGUGGACAUCGUAAGACACACUCUCUGCUUCCCCAGGCGAAAUCUGUAAUGCUUUGUUUAUUCAUGUUCUAUUCUGCGUUUCCAUGGCACUUUGUUCUUUGUGGUUUUUAGGGUAUCUUUCUCCCUCUCUGCUCAGUGAACUGAGCUGCCUGGACAGGCCUUGAGUUUUCUUAUUCGAUUGUUUUUUGUGUGUGUAUGUUUUGCCUUAGCUCCCUCACUAGUAUAGUCAAGGAGCUUUUCAUGCUUUGAGCCAUUUGUGGCAUUUCAGGAAUUACCUUCAUAGCUUUUGUCCAUUUUCUACUGGCUUGUCUUUUUCAAUGUUUUUAUAGGCAUUUUUUAAAAAACACAGUGUGGAUGUCAUUUGGGAUAGCAGUACUAAUAGUAGCUAAAACUUACUGAAAGCUACUGUGUGCCAGGCAGUCUGCUGAGCACUUUACAUGCUGCCUUUCAUUUUUACACUCAUUUAGGAAACUGAGUCACAGAGAGGCGAGAUAACUUGCCAGAGAUUCAAGCACACUCCAGACACAUCCCUACACCAAUCAGACCUCCUAGCCACCCAGAAACUCUCCUCUGCUCGGAGGCUUCUCUGCUUCCUCCACCUGCCCCUUCGCCUCACUGCCUCCUUUCAAAAUCUGCGGCAUGUAUUUUAGGGAUACUCGUAUCCAUUUUCAGGAAUUCCAUGAUCUACACACAGAUGACACCAAAAUCGGAACAGCAAUGUCCACCCUUCUCCCGAGCCCUAGGUCGGUGCCUCUGUCCACCUGUGUCUCCUGAAACUUCAACACAGACUUCAAAUGGAGUGGCAGAAAACCAGAUUCCUUAGGGAAAGGAAGGUCUCCCAGACGGCAGGAGCGGCAGGCCUUAGGGGCAGCCGCAGGGGCUCGGGAGUCUGAACAUACCCGGUUUGAAUUCAGACUCUGGCACGCCCCAUGCGAUCAUAACAUAGUGCUGCACGUCUCAAGCCACCUAUAAAAACGGGGACAAUAACAAUAUCUGCCUCGGGGUUAAUGGAUUAGAUGUGUCGGUCCAUAGACGUUGCUGGCCACAUAGUUAAGUGGUGCGUUCACUCACUGGGCAUUGAUGGAGCGCCUACUACGUGCCAGGCCUGUUUUACGCGCCGGGGGCCCAGAGGCGCCCAGGUCAGACAAAGUGUAAACGAUUCCGACCAGAGCCCUUCAAUCUGCAUUCCGCUUCGCAGGAAACUCUCCUCCUUUUAUGAUUUUCAGCCGGACUGCCUUCCCUGUUGUUAGUUUGUAACUUUCGCUCCGGCCCCCGCAGCCUCGCGCCUGCCUUCCCUCCACUGUCCUCAGCCAAGGUGUAGUAAAGCGUCUCCGAACGCGGCGCGACCCUCGCCCACGCCCGCUCGCG
RNAcentral lists this long non-coding RNA (2225 nucleotides) under Homo sapiens (human). RNAcentral describes it as "HSALNT0309559". Lineage: Eukaryota; Metazoa; Chordata; Mammalia; Primates; Hominidae. The record is from RNAcentral.